CGUGGGUAACCUGCCCAAGAGACUGGGAUACCACCUGGAAACAGAUGCUAAUACCGGAUAACAACACUAGACGCAUGUCUAGAGUUUAAAAGAUGGUUCUGCUAUCACUCUUGGAUGGACCUGCGGUGCAUUAGCUAGUUGGUAAGGUAACGGCUUACCAAGGCAAUGAUGCAUAGCCGAGUUGAGAGACUGAUCGGCCACAUUGGGACUGAGACACGGCCCAAACUCCUACGGGAGGCAGCAG
Molecule: ribosomal RNA, 244 nt
Filed under: uncultured bacterium
Lineage: Bacteria
Description: partial 16S ribosomal RNA
Rfam family: Bacterial small subunit ribosomal RNA
Source: RNAcentral